AUUGAACGCUAGCGGGAUGCCUUACACAUGCAAGUCGAACGGCAGCGCGGACUUCGGUCUGGCGGCGAGUGGCGAACGGGUGAGUAAUGUAUCGGAACGUGCCUAGUAGCGGGGGAUAACUACUCGAAAGAGUAGCUAAUACCGCAUACGCCCUACGGGGAAAGGGGGGAGUCGCAAGACCUCUCACUAUUAGAGCGGCCGAUAUCGGAUUAGCUAGUUGGUGAGGUAAAGGCUCACCAAGGCGACGAUCCGUAGCUGGUUUGAGAGGACGACCAGCCACACUGGGACUGAGACACGGCCCAGACUCCUACGGGAGGCAGCAGUGGGGAAUUUUGGACAAUGGGGGAAACCCUGAUCCAGCCAUUCCGCGUGUGCGAUGAAGGCCUCGGGUUGUAAAGCACUUUGG
This 406-nucleotide ribosomal RNA is filed under the name uncultured bacterium. Its description in RNAcentral is "bacterial SSU rRNA". It matches the Rfam family "Bacterial small subunit ribosomal RNA", at positions 30 to 438 of the family's 1533-position model. The record is from RNAcentral.